GAUGAAGAACGUAGCGAAAUGCGAUAAGUAAUGCGAAUUGCAGAAUUCCAGUGAGUCAUCGAAUCUUUGAACGCACAUUGCGCCCUUUGGUAUUCCGAAGGGCAUGCCUGUUCGAGCGUCAUUAUCACCCCUCAAGCCCUCGGCUUGGUGUUGGACGGUUUGGUGGAGGCCCCCUCGGGGGCUCCUGCCCCUCCCAAAGACAAUGACGGCGGCCUCGUUGGACCCCCGGUACACUGAGUUCUUCACGGGACACGUAUCGGACACAUGGGUUUACGGGACACGGUCCGCCUCCCCUCAGGGAGAAUCUUUCUAAGGUUGACCUCGGAUCAGGUAGGGAUACCCGCUGAACUUAAGCAUAUCAAUAAGCGGAGGA
Molecule: unclassified non-coding RNA, 373 nt
Filed under: soil metagenome
Description: partial contains 5.8S ribosomal RNA, internal transcribed spacer 2, and large subunit ribosomal RNA
Rfam family: 5.8S ribosomal RNA (bases 1-121)
Source: RNAcentral